Long non-coding RNA from Hippopotamus amphibius kiboko, 1062 nucleotides. RefSeq lists it as uncharacterized. NCBI's taxonomy places the organism in Eukaryota, Metazoa, Chordata, Mammalia, Artiodactyla, Hippopotamidae. The record is from RefSeq and is a predicted model, not a curated record. The transcript has 3 exons.
CCUCCAUCAGAGGUCUUCAGCUGGAAGACUGCAUUGGAAAUCUCCCGUCUGGAUGAUACAUAAGAUCACUUCCAGAUCAAAUACCGCCUGACUGCUGCGGGCCUGUGGAAGGCAGCAAGGUGUGAUAAUUGGGAGCCCAGGCUCAGAGGACCCAGAGGUGCAUCCCAGCUCCACCCUCUCUUAGUUGUGAGAUCUUGGGGCCUGGCCCAGUGCUUGGCCAGUAGGAGCUCUCCAUAAAUACUGAAUGAAUGAAUGAAUGAAUGGGCCUGAUUCUAAUCUCGGCUCGGUCACUUGCCAUGGACAAAGAACGUCAGCUCUAAAAUGCAAUUCCUUCAGCAUAUGUGUAUUGCAUUUCUAGCAAAUGAAUAUUCAAUUUGAACUUGCUUGCCUCUCGCAAAUUAAAUGUUAAACCCUUUUCCUGGGACUGGGCUGAAGCCACACUGAACCGGAAACUCAUCAAAGCCAGGGCUUCCUUUUCUUUCACGAGUCUCCGUGACAGUGCUCAGAGCAGAUGUUGAUCUUUUGGCUGAGCCACAUGUGUGCAGAAGGUCCCAGGUAGAAGAUCAGCCCCAAAGGGUGAUGCACUGAGGCCAGAGGAGGCAGCCACAGGAUUUCGUUAGGAGACUUAGAACUCAUCUCUUUCAGACUCUGUUUAUUCACCAACAUCAGGACCAAGGAUGACUUCUGCCUCCUGUAAAAUCAAGCAUCCUGGCAUAUCUCCCCAAACAGAAGAUAAGAAUUAAUGGGGCUUCCUAGGUGGCGCAGUGGUUAAGAAUCUGCCUGCCAAUGCAGGGGACAAGGGAUGGAUUCCUGCUCCAGGAAGAUCUCACAUGCUGCGGAGCAAUUAAGCCCGCACGCCACAACUAUUGAGCCGGCACUUUAGAGCCCGUGAACCACAACUAUUGAGCCCAUGUGCUACAACUACUGAAGCCCACGUGCCUAGAGCCCAUGCUCUGCAACAAGAGAAGCCACGGCAACGAGGAGCCCGUGCACCACAACGAAGAGUAGCCCCCACUCACUGCAGCUAAAAGAAAGCCCGCACACAACAAAAAAAAGACCCAA